AGUGAACGCUGGCGGUAGGCCUAACACAUGCAAGUCGAACGGCAGCACAGUAAGAGCUUGCUCUUACGGGUGGCGAGUGGCGGACGGGUGAGGAAUACAUCGGAAUCUACUUUUUCGUGGGGGAUAACGUAGGGAAACUUACGCUAAUACCGCAUACGACCUACGGGUGAAAGCAGGGGUUCUUCGGACCUUGCGCGAUCGACUGAGCCGAUGUCGGCUUAGCUUGUUGGCGGGGUAAAGGCCCACCAAGGCGACUAUCCGUAGCUGGUCUGAGAGGAUGAUCAGCCACACUGGAACUGAGACACGGCCCAGACUCCUACGGGAGGAAGCAGUGGGGAAUAUUGGACAAUGGGCGCAAGCCUGAUCCAGCAAUACCGCGUGGGUGAAGAAGGCCUUCGGGUUGUAAAGCCCUUUUGUUGGGAAAGAAAAGCAGCAGGUUAAUACCCCGCUGUUCUGACGGUACCCAAAGAAUAAGCACCGGCUAACUUCGUG
Molecule: ribosomal RNA, 492 nt
Filed under: uncultured bacterium
Lineage: Bacteria
Description: partial 16S ribosomal RNA
Rfam family: Bacterial small subunit ribosomal RNA
Source: RNAcentral